Molecule: transfer RNA, 72 nt
Filed under: Aedes aegypti (yellow fever mosquito)
Lineage: Eukaryota; Metazoa; Arthropoda; Insecta; Diptera; Culicidae
Rfam family: tRNA
About the family: Transfer RNA (tRNA) molecules are approximately 80 nucleotides in length.
Source: Rfam by way of RNAcentral
GGCUCGGUGGCUUAGUUGGUAAAGCGCUCGUCUAGCAUACAAGAGUCCUGGGUUCGAAUCCCAGCCAGGCAC